This 268-nucleotide unclassified non-coding RNA is filed under the name Verruciconidia persicina. RNAcentral describes it as "Acremonium persicinum partial contains 5.8S ribosomal RNA, internal transcribed spacer 2, and large subunit ribosomal RNA". The record is from RNAcentral. Lineage: Eukaryota; Fungi; Ascomycota; Sordariomycetes; Hypocreales; Bionectriaceae.
CGCACAUUGCGCCCGCUAGUAUUCUGGCGGGCAUGCCUGUCUGAGCGUCAUUUCAACCCUCGCCCCCGGCUUCUUGCCGGGAGCGGUGUUGGGGAUCGGCCGCCCGUCACUGGGAGGCCGGCCCCGAAAUAGAGUGGCGACCACGCCGUGUGCUCCUCUGCGUAGUAGUAAAUCACCUCGCAGGCGGACAGCGGUGCGGCCUGCCGUAAAACCCCCAACUCUUUCUAUGGUUGACCUCAGAUCAGGUAGGAAUACCCGCUGAACUUAA